Long non-coding RNA from Oreochromis aureus, 395 nucleotides. The record is from Ensembl. NCBI's taxonomy places the organism in Eukaryota, Metazoa, Chordata, Actinopteri, Cichliformes, Cichlidae.
AAGCUAACUUGAAAACUCAUGUCCAGCUAAAUCAGCAACUUAUGUGAACUUGACAAUGUGGGGAAGUUGAGCACAGCAGGAUUCAAAACUGCCUCACGUGACUGCUACCGAGGUGCAUCAUGGGGAAUUGGCGGUUAACGACAUGCUCACUUUACUUGGACGUUUUCUAAUCGUCUUCUUUGGAAUAUGCUUUCAAGGUCUGUGAAGCCAAACUUGAUGCUGGGGAUUUAUUUUUGUCAGUGGAGUCAAAUGGUUGAAGCAGAAUUUGCCCGUCUUACAUCUGUUGAGCUGAAAGGGUUCCUUUUUGCUGUGCUUGACCAUUAUGGAGAGGUUCGUGGAGCUGUACAAAAUCAAGAGCGGCAUAGGAGGGCUGACUAGGCUCAUAAGAUGCUUCG